AGUGAACGCUGGCGGUAGGCCUAACACAUGCAAGUCGAACGGCAGCACAGUAAGAGCUUGCUCGUACGGGUGGCGAGUGGCGGACGGGUGUGGAAUACAUCGGAAUUUACUUUUUCGUGGGGGAUAACGUAGGGAAACUUACGCUAAUACCGCAUACUACCUACGGGUGAAAGCAGGGGAUCUUCGGACCUUGCGCGAUUGAAUGAGCCGAUGUCGGAUUAGCUAGUUGGCGGGGUAAAGGCCCACCAAGGCGACGAUCCGUAGCUGGUCUGAGAGGAUGAUCAGCCACACUGGAACUGGGACACGGUCCAGACUCCUACGGGAGGCAGCAGUGGGGAAUAGUGGACAAUGGUCGCAAGCCUGAUCCAGCCAUACCGAGUGGGUGAAGAAGGCCUUGGGGUUGGAAAGCCCUUUUGUUGGGAAAGAAAAGCAGCAGGUUAAUACGCCGCUGUUCUGACGGUACCCAAAGAAUAAGCACCGGCUAACUUCGUG
This 492-nucleotide ribosomal RNA is filed under the name uncultured bacterium. RNAcentral's name for it is "partial 16S ribosomal RNA". It matches the Rfam family "Bacterial small subunit ribosomal RNA", at positions 29 to 507 of the family's 1533-position model. The record is from RNAcentral.